ACAAGCGGAGGAGCAUGUGGUUUAAUUCGAUGAUACGCGAGGAACCUUACCUGGGCUCGAACGUAAGAUGACUGUAGGUGAAAGCUUACAUCUCUUCGGAGCAUUUUACGAGGUGCUGCAUGGUUGUCGUCAGCUCGUGCCGUGAGGUGUCGGGUUAAGUCCCAUAACGAGCGCAACCCUACCUUUAGUUGCCAUCAGGUAAUGCUGGGGACUCUAAAGGAACUGCCUACGCAAGUAGUGAGGAAGCGGGGAUGACGUCAAAUCAGCACGGCCCUUACGUCCAGGGCUACACACGUGCUACAAUGGCCGAUACAGAGGGCAGCUACCUGGUGACAGGAUGCAAAUCUCCAAAGUCGGUCUCAGUUCGGAUCGGAGUCUGCAACCCGACUCCGUGAAGUUGGAUUCGCUAGUAAUCGCGCAUCAGCCAUGGCGCGGUGAAUACGUUCCCGGGCCUU
RNAcentral lists this ribosomal RNA (455 nucleotides) under uncultured Sphingobacteriales bacterium. RNAcentral describes it as "bacterial SSU rRNA". It matches the Rfam family "Bacterial small subunit ribosomal RNA", at positions 925 to 1382 of the family's 1533-position model. The record is from RNAcentral. Lineage: Bacteria; Pseudomonadati; Bacteroidota; Sphingobacteriia; Sphingobacteriales.